CGGACCUGCCCAGUGAUAAUAUAAUUAUUUAACGGCCGCGGUACUCUGACCGUGCAAAGGUAGCAUAAUCAUUUGCCCUAUAAUUGAGGGCUAGUAUGAAGGGUUUGACAAGGGCUUUUCUGUCUCCACAAAAAUUGAUGGAAUUUAUUUUUUAGAUGAAGAAAUCUAAAUACAACUAAAGGACAAGAAGACCCUAUCGAGCUUAAAAGUUAUUUCUAAUGUAAAAAAAGCGUGUAUGCAUUUUUUUUUAGAAAAAAUUUUGGUUGGGGCGACUAAGGAACAAAAAAAGCUUCUUUUAUUUAGGAAGAUAUAUUUAUUUAGAUCCAUGACUUGUUGUGAUUAAAAGAAUUAGUUACCGUAGGGAUAACAGCAUAAUCUUUUUUGAGAGCUCUUAUCGAAAAAAAGGUUUGUGACCUCGAUGUUGGACUAGAAUAUCCUGAUAGGUGCAGAAGCCUUCGAGGGUUGGUCUGUUCGA
Molecule: ribosomal RNA, 475 nt
Filed under: Echinolittorina paytensis
Lineage: Eukaryota; Metazoa; Mollusca; Gastropoda; Littorinimorpha; Littorinidae
Description: partial 16S ribosomal RNA
Rfam family: Bacterial large subunit ribosomal RNA
Source: RNAcentral